UCCAAGUACGAGCAUAGCAAGGUGGCAGGCACAGUUGUUACUACUGGUAAAAAAAAAUAAGAAUAGAAAAUCCAAAAACUAGAGUGAACGGUAUAUAAAAAGGAAACGCAAAUCAGUUUAAAUCAAAUUGAAAAAAAAAAACAUAACGGAAAGAAGAGAGAAACGGAUAUAUAUAUAUAUAUAUGUACAUGAUAUAUCUUGUAUAUAUAUAUAUGUAGAUCAAUUUCGAGACACACCGACAUCUGGCGGCGGAUACUGAACCUAGAUGUGUGCAAGACUGAAUAAUAGAAACGUAGAAAAAGAAAGAAAAAUAGUAAAGAAAGAAAAAUCAAAGAAUGACGGUAUCUCGAUAGAGAGAUCGCGCGAUACACCGACGCAAUGCCGAAUUCUAUCUCUCUUUGCUUGGAAAUUUUCCCUCCAUCUCGGUCAGCGAUACGACGGUUAUCUAAGUUAUCUUUCAUCGCGCCAUAUUUCUUUUCCUCCCGCGCGCGCUCACUUUCAAACGUGUCAACGACUUUCCUCUUUUCUGCCUCCUCUUUUUUCUUCUUUCUCGUUUUGAAAACUUUUCUGUGGUUCAGAUACUCGUCCGUUUCUCAUUCUCGAAUAAAAUAACAUGUUCUCGAACGAUUUCAAAUGAUCUCUUGAUUCUUGUUCUUUUCAAAACGUUCGUAUAAAAUUGAAACACUCGAACCGCGAGGUUAUGCGAUAUUAAUCGAAGGAAAUUUUUCGCUGUCUUCUAAUUUUUAAGAAAUUAUUUCCGGUUUUUGACGUGAACAAUGGACGGAUACAGACGAAUCGAUUUUCUCCAAAAGAGGGUUUCUGUCGUGUUCUGGUAUGAGAUAUAACUUUCGGUGGGUAGAUAGCACGGAUCGGUUAAAGACAGACACAGGGCUUUUGGUGUAACGGGGUUAUUGGCACAUUGUAGACAGGUGAUAACAGACGUAGACAAGGGACAAGAGAGGGAAUGGUCGUUCGGGUCCUUCGUAUCAUAUCCUGUAUCAUAAAGCUGUGUGUUGAACGGUUCCGAUUUCGUAAUUAUUGCCGAUCCGUCGAUUCGGAACAAUAUAACGUGAUGUGAACACGUUUUCUCAUUCUCGUUUUCAUCGUUUAUAUAUAUAUAUAUUUUAUUUGAUUUUGUACCACGAUUUUGUAUCUCCUCUACCGCAUAUGUAUGUAUAUAUAUAUAUAUGUUGAUAAUGAUGAUGUAUAAUAUUUUAUAUCAUCAAUUUAUCUCGACAAACGACGGAAAGGAACAAUUGAACAAAAAAAUGGAACGCAAGAAUAUAUAUGUCUUUGACGCAAGAGGCGCGCAAUAAAGUCAGCGUUCGUGUAUAAGAUGCUAGGGGACAAAAAGUCACUAGAAACAAAUUCGACAAGGGGUUAUGAAAUACACAACGUACAUAAAAAAGUGCAAGCCUGGCAACACAAAAAACAACACAAGACCAGACAGGAUAUAUAUCGUUACGUAAAAAAUUACACGAUUCUCAAACAUACUAUUACUUGGUUUGUAGCCGGUUACGGUAUAUAUCAGGGCGAUCACAGUAAUAGUAGCUAAGAACUCAGCGCUAAACAGGACAAGAUGACAAUACAUAAACAGAACAACAGAGAAGGAAAGAAACAGAAUAAAGAGAGAAGUAGAGAGAAGGGCGGACAACGGCAGGAUUAUAGACAACGAUCAUCCGACGACAUAUCACAGAUAACACAGAGACACUUCGAUACGAUUAUACUUUCAAUGUAGGUGUGAAGAGAGUGCUCGACCCUUUGGCUGUGGCGAUACGUUCACGCGAUUUCGAUUGAUUUUAAAUUUUCCUCGUUUGAAGGCUAUCGGUAAAGUAGAUUCGUUUUGUUAUCGACCCGUCAAAGUCCCUAGAUUAAAGGCGAAACAAAUGCGAUUUAGUUUUCGAAUUUUGGUAUCGUUACAGGGCUACAACUCAACUGCUAAACGAAUCAGCGUAAAUUUUGUUCGAUUAUCAAAUACUGGAAUUCCCUGUGUCGUACAAAAGUGAUAUUAACGAAGGUGGACCAUCGAACCUCGUCGAAAUUUGUUUUUCACGCGAACAGUAAGCGGCAGCCGUCGAGUCGGAGAUGACAGAAACAAAUACGCAGGUAGACAGGUAAAAAGGUAGCGACGGAACUAAAAAAUGACAGAGCGACAGAAUGGAAAGAAGAGAGGAAAACGAUAGACAGGCGAUUAAAAACGGAGUAUAGAGGGGUUGAAAGGGCGGAGAGACGAGUCAAAUAAGCGAGGUAUGAUCAAACACUGGCAAACAUAAUUGGUAACGUAACUGAAUCGAUAACAGGCCGAACCAGGGUCGAUAGAAUAGAAGAAAUAUAAAGAGCUUUGAAAAAGACCAACAGGGAAUAUACAUAGAGUAGUAUAGAGACAAAAACAAUAACUGAAACGGAGAAAGAGAGAAAAAGAGAGACGUGAUACGCAGGCUAAGGGUAUGAACAUACGUAUACAUAUAUAGAUAGAUUACAUAUAAUGGGACAUACGAAAAAACAUGUAAGAUGAAUGUUACGAGCGAAACGAGCAAAUAGAAGCGAGAGAGCUUGAGCUGCAACUUACCGCGGUGUAAAGGAACUCCAGAACGUACUACGUGUGGGAAAAAACCAACGAGAAGAAAGGGCGUUACCACGGUCACAGAACCCGCGUUUGCGGGCAAAAAAACGGACGCGCGUACGCAGCAUUGCGCGAGCAAUCGUCUAUUUCGCAUAAUCAUACCUUAUUGACUUUAUUCCCUUUUUCUUGCAUCGUUUUUCAUUUAUGCAUUUCAAAUUUUCGCGCCAUCGCGGCAUAACCGUUUCGAUAUAGCGAACCUCGAUUCCCUCUCAACGAUUAUUUCGAUCGGAGGUUAACUUCCGAAGGUUCAUCCCCACUACACGACCCUAGACAUCUCCCCCACCCCAUUGCACGUUCGCGCCAAGUUUGAUCGUGUACGCGCGAAUCUCGCGGCGAAAAUCGAAUGCUCUAUCGCAAUGUUCCGCACGCCGUUACAGAAACAAUAGACGUAGACACACACUAAUCAAGCGUACCCAUCACACACGCGAUCUUCGCCAGUCACGCAACAUGAACGCAGUCACUCACAGACUCAUCCAACAUAGAGUGGUAAUACACGUGACAGACACAAGUUGGAAACUACGCACACACAUCUGUAUAUAUACGACGAUUAUACACGUGUAUAUAAUAUAUAUAUAUAUGUAUGUAUAUAUAAUAAUAUCCAUAUAUAAGUAAAUAUAUAUAUGUAUAUGUAAUAUAUAAAGGCAGAGUAAAGAGAGAAAGAGAUGGAGAGCUCCAGCGCGUCUUCGCGUGAUCGAUGCAUUUGGAACGGGUACUGCACACGCGUUAACGAGACAUGGCCGUCGUCGUUUCGUUUGGAAUCCAACAUUGACGUCGAUUCGAGAUUCGUCCCGUAUCGAGGGAGUCACGAGUAACGGGUGUCGCACGAAGGAUCCUCUUAUCGCGUCGCUCAUCGAAGCCGAGCCUCGAACUGACAAUGAGGAGAGAUUCCAUCGGAGCUUGGACUGCCAUGUUGGCAGACGAUCUUCGAAUAUUGAUUACGCUCUGUCCGAGCAAUCCCGAUGCCAACCUGAAUUUCUGAUUCACCGGGAUACUUGUAUGCAGUCUGUACGCUCGAGAUUCCAUUGAAAGUGGUGGGGAGAAUUAGCGUUCUCUGGGUCGUUUCUAAUGAAACGACCCUUCUUUCUUUCUUUCGCUUUACGAAUGAUUCAAAUUAAUUUCAUACUAUGAUACAAACAAGCAAGUCCUACUCUACACCUUUUAAUUUUAUAUUUUUUUUCAGAAAGGAAAAAGUAGUUACCGUAGUAUGAUUGGAAAACGGUGAUUCUAUGUAGAGAUAAAUCAAAGUUAAGAAACGAGUAUGCUUCGCCUUGGCGGGAAUUUUGAAUAUUGAUAUUGAUUGAUCGAUGGUUGAAUAUUUGAUAGAAGUUAUCUAAUUGAUCGUGACUAUCCUGAAUUUUGAACUAAUAAAUGUUGAUAUUAAAUGUACUUCGAAACGUUAUAAUUGAUUGUAACUCAUUUAUAAAAGCUUGAAAAAAUGAUAGAAGAUGAUUCUGUUAAGUUUAACGAAAUUCGUGCAUUUGAUUUUAUGCAUGUAAUUAUAUAUUGCCACCAUUUUUAAGCGAAUUUUAUUGUCAACUCCACAAAUUAUUAUAUUUGUGGAAAUGUAUCAAAGAUAAAUGUUAAAAAGCAAGUAAUUCACAAGGGGUUUCAUGUUUUACAUCAGCAUUCAAAUGUUUGUCAUAAAAAGAACAAAUAGGGUCAAAUAAAAUUCCUUCAUGUAAUAUGCAUCAAUAAAUAUAUGAAAUUUUGAAAUAGAA
Bombus pascuorum is the source of this 4341-nucleotide long non-coding RNA. RefSeq lists it as uncharacterized. NCBI's taxonomy places the organism in Eukaryota, Metazoa, Arthropoda, Insecta, Hymenoptera, Apidae. The transcript has 2 exons. The record is from RefSeq and is a predicted model, not a curated record.